Molecule: non-coding RNA, 109 nt
Organism: Panaeolus papilionaceus
Lineage: Eukaryota; Fungi; Basidiomycota; Agaricomycetes; Agaricales
Source: the annotation of a GenBank genome assembly
GCCCGCCUAGCUCAAUUGGAUAGAGCGUCAGACUCUUAUCUGGUGCUGGCAAGGCUCAAGCUGUUAUCCGUAAAUCUGAAGGCUGCGAGUUCGAUCCUCGCGGUGGGCU